GAAAAGUUAUCGGCAGUUCUCCUCAUUUCCUCAUCUCUAUAUAUUUCUCUUCUGUACAAAGAUUUCCCUGGCAAGAAAAAAGAAAGAACACAGUAAACUUUAGGCAUUUAGUUUGUGAACAAAAACUCUGUUGAGAUUCAGAAUGCGAUUAGGGGCUAUUAUUUUGGUGGUGAGUUCAAAAAAUUGCAACUCUAUGUCCGCUGCGUUGUUGACAGGUACGCUAAUAUUGUUCUUGCCCCGCGAUUAUUAAACUAUCAAUAGUAUUAGAGCCUGCGUUGUUUGCUCGUAGUUGUUGAUUGUCUCAAUGUAAAAUACUGUGUGAGAAGUAUCUUUAAUAUACUGUUCGUUGCAAAUUUUUUUUGUUGCACAUUAACAGAUUGUGAAAAGAAUAAAGAACUUUGGAAUAGCAGUCGGUAUCACUUUUCUUGUUGAAAGAGAGUUCAAGAUUUUGAAGGACUUAAUUUUUGUAUAUGUGUUUGCAAUUUGGGCGUAAACCGACAUUGCUCUUAUUUGCUUGCACAAUAUGUGAAGAACAUCAGUGGUGUGUCCUACUUUCAUAAGAAUUUUAUUCUGGAAAUAAAAUUGAGAGAACAUAAUAUUGGAAGAACUUCUUUUAAUUGUACAAUUAGAAUUGGUUUCUAACUCUCAAUUCGAAAUAAAAUAGAAAUAGUUGUUUCCCCAAGUAUUAGUUCAUGACUUGAGUUAAAACAAGGACUUACGCAUUAGUUCGAAGAUUUACGUCUUCCUAUUGCUAAAUAGACAGAUAUUUUCUUAUCUUGGUUAUCCCAGUUUCAUAGAACUUUGUUUCUGGGAGUAUUUGAUUGAUAUUAUUUGAAGUAGGGCCUGUUUUUGUUAGUUCUUUUGCCCACAUGAAAGGGUAUUUCAAAUUGCAGAGAACUUAAUUCACUUAUAUAAACUUUGGGAUUUGACCUGUCAGUUUUCUUUAUCAUGUCCCUCUUUGCUUUUCUUAUUAUUUUAAGAUGAAGAAUUGCAUGUUGUUAACAGAAACACUCCUACAGAAUGGCUAAUAUCAUGGAUUUUGUGUACAAUUAAAAUCGGGCCCACCCGAUUUUACUAUUUGACCGAGACCGGGAGGUUGCAUCGAAGGACGACCUCGUAACAAAACAAAUUGAAUCACGAGGAUAAGGUACCGAGUUCAGAAUCGAGGUACCUGUCGAGAUCGAGGCUAGUAGCGAUCGAAACCAAAUGAGACAGACAUCGAGCAAGAUCGAAAAUAGCAUAAUAACAGAAAGGCGAGAUAUCCGUGACUGGUCGAAUAUCAUGGCGUAAAUCUUGGUGACUGGUCGAGGAUCAUGGCUUAAAUCUCGGAACGGAUCAAAUCAGAAAUGGUUAAUUAGCUAAUCAUGGGAUUUCCUUCUAUAAUUAGAGUUAUACUAUAAGUCGAAUUCUUCUACUAUAUAAAGGGGAGUACUAACCAUUUGUAACAUAGAUUGUUGACGGAUAUAAAAGCAAUAUAAUUCUCUUCCUCGCGGAUACUAUUGUUCAUCAGCUUGUUAUACUUUAAUUGUUCUUGCAUCAACCAGUUCGAGGGUAUCCAAACUCUGAGUUCCAUUCUAAC
RNAcentral lists this long non-coding RNA (1579 nucleotides) under Nicotiana tabacum (common tobacco). Its description in RNAcentral is "long non-coding RNA (NTAB_LNC016353)". The record is from RNAcentral. Lineage: Eukaryota; Viridiplantae; Streptophyta; Magnoliopsida; Solanales; Solanaceae.